CAAAAUGUAGCUUAACAAAGCUCUUCGCUUACACCGAGAAGAUAUCUGUUCGAAUCAGAUCAUUUUGAG
RNAcentral lists this transfer RNA (69 nucleotides) under Odorrana hosii (Mount Dulit frog). RNAcentral describes it as "tRNA-Val". It matches the Rfam family "tRNA". From Rfam's summary of the family: Transfer RNA (tRNA) molecules are approximately 80 nucleotides in length. Lineage: Eukaryota; Metazoa; Chordata; Amphibia; Anura; Ranidae. The record is from RNAcentral.